CAUUUUAAAACAAUGUUUGCUUCCCCCCCUCAGGUACAGUCACCACAAAAUUUCCUUCACCAAUGUACCCAUGCACCACCACCACAGUCCCCUGGAGACACCGUAAAUCUUUCCAAUGCAUGUAAUGAGAGUCCCAGAAGAAAAUGAGAAAAAGGGACAAAGAAAAUAUUCAAAGAAAUAAUGGCUGUGAAACUUGCCAAAUUUGAUGAAAAACAUUCAUCUACAUAUCCAUGAAGCUCAAGAAUGUCCAGUGGGAUAAUAGGAUCCAAUAGAAUUCAACAGCUGUACACAUCAUAAUCAAACUACUUGAAAGACAAAGAUAAAGAUAAGCUUGACAGAAUUAGAGAGCAGUGUCUCUCACAUACAAGGGAUCUUUAAUAGAAGAAUUAUAGCUGGUUUCCAUCAGAAAUCUUGACGACCAAAACACAGUAAGAUGACAUAUACAAACUCUGAAAAGAAAAAGAACAUGAAAUAAGAAUUCUAUAUCCAUUUGUCAACAAAAUAAAAAAGACAAUAUGGCAGUCUCAGAGAAACACAAGCUAAAAGAAGUAAUUAUUAGCAGGUCUGCCUUACAAGAAAUGCUAAAACAGUACAGUAGUCAAAAACUUGAAUCCCUAUGAUGACAUAAAGAACACUGGUGAAGCUAGAAACAGAAGGGAAUGUUAUUAAAAGGAGAAAGCAUUUCUACCAAAAGCCCUGAAAAAUAACUUAUUCAGGCAACAAAUUUUAUUUUAUGCCUGCAUGUGUCAAAUACUAUACAGCAGUGAGAAGAGAAUAAAUACCCUGUCUUUAUGGAGCUUACAAACUACCAGUUAAACACUUCUUUCAUAUUGUGUUGCCUCUCAAAUGUUUGUCUAUGUUUUUAUUGAAAUUAAAUGGACCUCUUGUAUCUAUCCCAUAAAAAAUGGGGUUAUUUUUAAUAAGGAGCUUGGAUACUGCAUCCAUAUGAAAAUCCUGAUGGAACUGUGACAGAACCCUCCUUAAUUUAGAAGUUAAGAAAGACAAAAAGGAAUUGCUACACCUCUCCAGGAGGAAACAACAUUGAAUGAUAUGAAUCUCGCUUCCUAGUUACUCCAUUAUUUACUUCUCUGAAAGAAUGUAGUAUGCUGCCUAUUUUCCAAGAUAUUUCCAUGGACGAAGUCUGAACUGUAGGAUGAGAAGGAAUUAUUGAGAUGGAGAAAGAAAUGAGUGCAGCAGCAGGUAUCAGCAGAUAUGUCCUGAUAGCUGAAGAUCACAAAUAAGAUAAGUAACUUUUUUCUAAUAAAUGCUAAAAUAUUGUCAGAUAUAUUCAUGACCCAGCCAAGAUGACUCAGGAGUUUUUAUACAAUGCUGUUACUGAAGACAAAGAACAGCAAAACUUUGAUAAUAACAUCAACAUCAAAACAGAACCUGCAUUCCAAAUCAAAUAGGUCAGAAAGAAUUAUCAAAAACACCCAAGAAAUUACUGAGGAAAUCUGUUCUAUUAUUUUAU
Long non-coding RNA from Talpa occidentalis (Iberian mole), 1471 nucleotides. RefSeq lists it as uncharacterized. The record is from RefSeq and is a predicted model, not a curated record. NCBI's taxonomy places the organism in Eukaryota, Metazoa, Chordata, Mammalia, Eulipotyphla, Talpidae. The transcript has 6 exons.